GACGGAGGAUGCAAGCGUUAUCCGGAAUGAUUGGGCGUAAAGCGUCCGCAGGUGGCAGUUCAGGUCUGCUGUCAAAGACCGGGGCUUAACUUCGGAAAGGCAGUGGAAACUGAACAGCUAGAGUAUGGUAGGGGCAGAGGGAAUUCCUGGUGUAGCGGUGAAAUGCGUAGAGAUCAGGAAGAACAUCGGUGGCGAAGGCGCUCUGCUGGACCAUAACUGACACUCAGGGACGAAAGCUAGGGGAGCGAAUGGG
This 253-nucleotide ribosomal RNA is filed under the name uncultured bacterium. RNAcentral's name for it is "partial 16S ribosomal RNA". It matches the Rfam family "Bacterial small subunit ribosomal RNA", at positions 524 to 776 of the family's 1533-position model. The record is from RNAcentral.